This 709-nucleotide ribosomal RNA is filed under the name Acarospora sp. RNAcentral describes it as "partial large subunit ribosomal RNA". The record is from RNAcentral. Lineage: Eukaryota; Fungi; Ascomycota; Lecanoromycetes; Acarosporales; Acarosporaceae.
UAAGUCACUGGAGACCAAGGACUUCGUGAAAUUGGAGAAUGCGGAGCGCGAUCGACUGGACUUGCCCGCGGGAAGACCAUCCGGUAAUUCGAGUUGUGCGCUCAACCGUCGUCUAAGUCAGAGGUAGUUUCCUUCUAAAGAUAAAAUACCCCCCAGAGGCCGGAUCCCCUCCCAAGUAGAUUUAUCCAAAGAUGAAAAGCCCUUCGAACCGGGAGUCAGAACGCCCGUGAAAUUGGAUAAAGGGGAGAUCUUGCAAACCGACCCGUCCGGGGUCGCUGAACCAGGACUUUGACCUGGUGUACUCCUCCGCGGCCGGGCCAGCAUGGGUUUAGGCGGUCGGAUAAAGGGCGCGGAAAUGUAGCUCCCCUCGGGGAGUGUUAUAGCCCGUGGUGGGAUGCGAUUUGAGUAAGAGCAAAGCCCGUGGGUCGGCUAAGAUGGUGGCAUAAUGCUGAAUAGGGAGAAGUCUGGAAAAACUGCCCAGGGAGUCUAACAUCGGUCCGAGGGUCAAAGCGUCGAACCCGGACGGGUAUAGAAAGGAAAGAGUAGUGGGAACCUUUGGGACUAGAUAUCGCCCGGUCCUGAUGGGUCCGGAAGUUUUUGAGCAUGAGGAUAGACAUUGUCGGUCUUAUGGGGAAGAACUAUGGGCUAAUAGCAGUGAGCAGAGGAUCACCACAGACUAAGGCGCCGUUUCCGUCCGGAAGCACAGUUA